CAGCCCUAAACGAUACUCGCUAGGUGUCGGCCACGGUGCGACCGUUGUCGGUGCCGUAGGGAAGCCGUGAAGCGAGCCACCUGGGAAGUACGGCCGCAAGGCUGAAACUUAAAGGAAUUGGCGGGGGAGCACAACAACGGGUGGAGCUUGCGGUUUAAUUGGAUUCAACGCCGGAAAUCUUACCGGGACCGACAGCAACAUGAAGGCCAAGCUGAAGACUUUGCCGGAUUAGCUGAGAGGAGGUGCAUGGCGUAGUCGUGU
RNAcentral lists this ribosomal RNA (261 nucleotides) under uncultured archaeon. RNAcentral's name for it is "partial 16S ribosomal RNA". It matches the Rfam family "Archaeal small subunit ribosomal RNA", at positions 748 to 1009 of the family's 1478-position model. The record is from RNAcentral.